Molecule: long non-coding RNA, 1208 nt
Organism: Columba livia (rock pigeon)
Lineage: Eukaryota; Metazoa; Chordata; Aves; Columbiformes; Columbidae
Exons: 2
Source: RefSeq, a predicted model, not a curated record
GUUAUGAAAAGCGCCCUCCCACCCCGCGCCGCACCCGUGAGUCCUUGUGAGCAGAGCUGAGCACCUCACUCACAGUGCUGUACGAUGCAUUUUCUACAGUAUUACAUUCGUGUUUCUACAUACUGCAAUUUAACGCCAGGUCAACAAUAGGUCCAGUUUCUGAAACAGGAUCAGACACAUGAACAUGUGGGAAUAAGGUACAGCACACACAAAUUAAAGAGUCAAAGUACAGGUUGUUCUGCAUCUCCAGCAUCGUGCUAUGUCCGUCACUUAACACCCCUCUCCUCACUCCUUUUGUGUCCCCCUGAGCAGACAGUUCCAACAGAAGCCUAACAGUGCCAAGUACCAACUUGGAACAUACCCUGGGGGUCCUGCUUCAGCUUACAGUGGGUCCCAUCUGUGUCACGUCACCCCUUCCAGUUAAAAACAAGGUGGAGAUCAGUAGCUUCGCAGGACCAUUGACCAGGGUGUGAAAUAUUCCAAGUUGGCAGGCACAGUUAUCUGCAAGUUAAUCAUGACCAGCACCUUUUCUUAAACACAGAAAGCAAGUUGGCCAGUAUGCUUAAACUCAUCAGCUGCUGCAGCUGCACAAAAAUAGCUCUACACUCACAAUACUGCCUUUUUUCUUUAAGAUGAGUAACAAAUUAGACAUGCACAGUUCACAUACACACAAAGAAAAAGACUGUGGUUCUCAGGAAGCCCUUUAUUAAGUGAAGGCAUUAAAGGAGAAACUACUGUUAUUCACCAAGCUUCUCGUCUUGAGGUGGUUCAUACUGAGCCAGCUGUGGAUUUAAAGAGAGGAAUUUAGUUAGCUGCAACAUUUCAGAGACACUUUCUACAUUAAGAAAUGCAUGAAAACAUUUGGUCUGGAAGUGUUCCAUCUACUCUGAGCAUUUUAAUCCAUCACUGAUAUUUAUGCAGGUCCAUUUUCAAGUCAGGCAACAAAAUAACCCUUCCCUCAAAACAUCCAUUUGUCUUGUACAAUCACGCAGUUAUAACAAGGAGGGCUUUUUAGAUGCACUUUCAAGCAUUAAGUCUUGCCCUUAAUCUUCCCCAUUUCUUGUUCUAGGUCUCACUAAGUACUUUUUAUUGCAAAUAGCAGCUGAUAAUAACCAGUGCUUUGUAAACAUUAAUACUGGAAAACAUGUGAAGCAAGAGUUAUCAUUUGAAGGCUGAAGAACGUGAAAGCACAAAUAAAUCCAUGGUUA